ACUACGGGGGGCAGCAGUGGGGGAUAUUGGACAAUGGGGGGAACCCUGAUCCAGCGACGCCGCGUGAGUGAAGAAGUAUUUCGGUAUGUAAAGCUCUGUCAGCAGGGAAGAAAGCAAUGACGGUACCUGACCAAGAAGCCCCGGCUAACUACGGGCCAGCAGCCGCGGUAAUACGGAGGGGGCAAGCGUUAUCUGGAAUUACUGGGUGUAAAGGGAGCGUAGACGGCUGUGCAAGUCUGGGGUGAAAGUCGGGGGCUCAACCCCAGGACUGGUCUGGAGACUGUAUGGCUGGAGUGCAGGGGAGGUAGGCGGAAUUCGUGGUGUAGCGGUGAAAUGCGUAGAUAUUAGGAGGAACACCGAUGGCGAAGGCGGCUUACUAAACUGUAACUGACAUUGAGGCUCGAAAGGGUGGGUAGCAAACAGGAGUAGAUACCCUGGUAGUC
Molecule: ribosomal RNA, 443 nt
Filed under: uncultured bacterium
Lineage: Bacteria
Description: partial 16S ribosomal RNA
Rfam family: Bacterial small subunit ribosomal RNA
Source: RNAcentral